This 206-nucleotide ribosomal RNA is filed under the name uncultured bacterium. RNAcentral describes it as "partial 16S ribosomal RNA". It matches the Rfam family "Bacterial small subunit ribosomal RNA", at positions 568 to 774 of the family's 1533-position model. The record is from RNAcentral.
UGCGUAGGUGGUGAUGCAAGUCUGGUGUGAAAUCUCGGGCUCAACCUGGGGGCUGCGUUUAAUACAUGUUCGCUUGAGUUCGGAAGAGGGUCGUGGAAUUCCCAGUGUAGAGGUGAAAUUCGUAGAUAUUGGGAAGAACACCGGUGGCGAAGGCGGCGACCUGGUCCGAUACUGACGCUGAGGCGCGAAAGCGUGGGGAGCAAACA